GUAGGUGGCGUGCCCCGAGGUCGAGGAUAGCCAUGGGAAACCGUGGGUAAUACUGGAUGAUCUCCCCGGGUCGGAAGACCUGGGGGGCAAAGGUGUGAUUCCGCCUUGGGAGCGGCUUGCGUGGUAUUAGCUUGUUGGUGAGGUAACGGCUCACCAAGGCAACGAUGCCUAGGGGGUGUUAGCGCAUGACCCCCACGACUGGGACUGAGAUACUGCCCAGACACCUACGGGUGGCUGCAGUCGAGAAUCUUCGGCAAUGGGCGCAAGCCUGACCGAGCGACGCCGCGUGCGGGAUGAAGGCCCUUGGGUUGUAAACCGCUGUCAGAGGGGAUGAAAUGCGGGUGGGCAAUCCCAUCCGUUUGACAUAGCCUCAGAGGAAGCACGGGCUAAGUUCGUGCCAGCAGCCGCGGUAAUACGAACUGUGCAAACGUUAUUCGGAAUCACUGGGCUUAAAGGGUGCGUAGGCGGCCAUUUAAGUAGGGUGUGAAAGCCCCCGGCCCAACCGGGGAACUGCGCCCUAAACUGGAUGGCUC
Molecule: ribosomal RNA, 533 nt
Filed under: uncultured Planctomycetota bacterium
Lineage: Bacteria; Pseudomonadati; Planctomycetota
Description: bacterial SSU rRNA
Rfam family: Bacterial small subunit ribosomal RNA
Source: RNAcentral